GACGUAGGGCGCAAGCGUUGUCCGGAUUUAUUGGGCGUAAAGAGCUCGUAGGCGGUUCCGUAAGUCGUGAAGUCAAAUCUCUGGGCUCAACCCAGAAUCGCUUCCGAUACUGCGGUGACUGGAGUCCGGUAGGGGAGUGUGGAAUUCCUGGUGUAGCGGUGAAAUGCGCAGAUAUCAGGAGGAACACCAACAGCGAAGGCAGCACUCUGGGCCGGUACUGACGCUGAGGAGCGAAAGCAUGGGGAGCGAACAGG
RNAcentral lists this ribosomal RNA (254 nucleotides) under uncultured bacterium. RNAcentral's name for it is "partial 16S ribosomal RNA". It matches the Rfam family "Bacterial small subunit ribosomal RNA", at positions 524 to 776 of the family's 1533-position model. The record is from RNAcentral.